This is an RNA transcript of Galeopterus variegatus (Sunda flying lemur), 2515 nucleotides long. It is a transcript of the gene named ring finger protein 114, with no coding region annotated. The transcript is spliced from 7 exons. The record is from RefSeq and is a predicted model, not a curated record. Lineage: Eukaryota; Metazoa; Chordata; Mammalia; Dermoptera; Cynocephalidae.
AGGUAGCAAGAUGGCGGCGCAACAGCGGGUCCGUGAGGGUGGUGCGCAGCUGGCAGGGCCCGCGGCGGAGGCCGACCCGCUAGGUCGCUUCACGUGUCCCGUGUGCUUAGAGGUGUACGAGAAGCCGGUGCGGGUGCCCUGCGGACACAUCUUUUGCUCUGCAUGCCUGCAGGAAUGUCUGAAGCCGAAGAAACCUGUCUGUGGGGUGUGUCGCAGCCCUCUGGCACCUGGCGUCCGAGCCGUGGAGCUCGAGCGGCAGAUCGAGAACACAGAGACUUCUUGCCAUGGCUGCCAUAAGAAUUUCUUCCUGUCCAAGAUCCGGGCCCAUGUGGCUACCUGUUCCAAAUACCAGAAUUACAUCAUGGAAGGUGUGAAGGCCACCACUAAGGAUGCGUCCCUUCAGCCAAGGAAUGUCCCAAACCGUUAUACCUUUCCUUGUCCUUACUGUCCUGAGAAGAACUUUGACCAGGAAGGACUUGUGGAACACUGCAAAUUAUCCCAUAGCAUGGAUACCAAACCUGUGGUUUGUCCAAUAUGUGCCUCGAUGCCCUGGGGAGACCCCAGCUACCGCAGCGCCAACUUUAUAGAGCACAUCCAGCGCCGGCACCAGUUUUCUUAUGACACUUUUGUGGAUUAUGAUGUCGAUGAAGAGGACAUGAUGAAUCAGGUGUUGCAGCGCUCCAUCAUUGAUCAGUGAGCAGAGUCUGUGCCAUCCAUCUCAUUUUCCAGAGCUUCCAGUAUGUGUUAAACGUGAAACCUUUGACUCCUACACCUUAACUGUACAACAGACCUGGAAAUGAGCCAUGGCUUUGGGACAGGGUCACUUCUGACAGGGGAAACGGAAACAGGUCCCCAGGUCAGAGCUCUCCUUUCCUUUUGGUUCUUGCCAAAGCUGUCUUCCUAUACCUUAACUUCGUUUGUUACAUGGUCCAGUCUUUAUUGGCCCCAGCUUCUUCCUGGAGCUUCUGCCUCCUCUUCUGGAAGAGAACUCAGCUUCUCCACCUCCACCUGUUCUUGUUUCACACUCGUUCCUCCCAUUCAGUGUUCAUCUCUCAGGUCCUCUGAGCCAGUCAGGACCUUUUCUGGGUCAUGAAUAGCACAAUCAAACAAGCAUCUCCUUUCCUUGUCCUUGAGGUAUGUGAACUCUGGCAGCAGUGCAUCUGACCAGUGCUGAAGCUCCUGCGGUGCUGCAGAGCUGCUUGUCAGUGGUUCAUCGGCAGCAGCUGCCAGAAGCUGGAGUUGCCAUCCCAGGGAACAUUUCAAAAGUCCUCUUGGGUGAAUGUUCUGGGUUUAGCAUGAUUUGAUGCUGUAAGUUUAGAUUAGUGAUAUUUUCCUUUUACUCCUGCACACCCUUAGAGUUAACUGGUUCAGUCUUAAAUGCCUGCAUGGUGCCUUUUUAGAGUAAGGUAUAACCAUCUAUUUUUAGUAGAAAUAUUUCUAGGUUAGGAAAGUUAAAAUCCAUUUAUCCACAGGUGGGGAGGAGGGUCAGCCAAGAGAGGUAGGAGGGCCAUAGAUUUUUGUUUAUAAGUUUCAGAUGAGUGGGUCAUGUUUACUUGUUUGGAAGCCUGCUUACAUUUUUGUCCUGGAAGCACGAAAAAGAGUCUCAAAUAAGAAGGAAGGGUUUGGAUGCUCCAAUGGAUACUAGUACUUUUAUCUUCUAGAUGAUAACUUAGAUUAAACUGAACAUUGUUUUUAUGUCCCACAUGGUUUCCUUAUGACACUGGUUUCAACAUGUAGGUCUGUGUUUGAAAACCUGCAUUCUAAAAUGCAGAGUAAGGAAGGCUAUAGGAAAUCCAGGAUCACACCCUGUUGUCUCUUCUGACAAGACACACUGUUUAUAAGGCACAGUAGAUCUGAUGAGUAGUAGUUAAUAAAAGCUGUCUACUGGAGACUUGCUUUAGCUCAAGAAGCUUGAAGUUCAACAUUUCACAAAGGUUAAUAAAUAUAAGGCUAAGAGCUGUCAGCCUGAUCUGUAGGAGCAAAACUUCUGAUUGACCAAAAGAUAUAUGGAUUUAGGUUUGCCCUUUCAUGUUACACAUCCUUAGUCUGAAUAUGGAAAUUGUUUUCUGGUCAGUGGCUGAGGUUGCAAGUGACACUGGGCUUUCUGCCUUUAUGUUGCUGCUGUGGGCCUCUCCUUGCCUGCCAGUAAAGAGCUGCAGAUACCUAGUAACCAGUGAAGAUGGGCCCAUUUGGGGCAAAAUAAUUUUUCCUAAUGUGCUAUUACUUGGGAGGACCCAAAUGUUAAGGUCAGCUGCUUCACUGUAAUUUCUGGAUAAGUUCACUCCACCCUCCCUGAAUUGAGGUCAUCUCAGUAGAAGUUUGGAGGGAAGUUUGACAAAACCUUUUGAGGGGACUGAUGAGAGCAUGUCCAUUUCACUGGUGGUACCAAGAAACUUCUUUCCUUGUAUUAAGUGCACUUCAUGUAUUUCUAAUAAGAUGACUUUCCAGAAAGUGAAAUUUGUUAUGUUCUGGCUUUUAAAAGGUGAAAUAUAAAUAAAUUUCAUAAUUUAUCCAA